AUUGAACGCUGGCGGAAUGCUUUACACAUGCAAGUCGAGCGGCAGCGCGGGGCAACCUGGCGGCGAGCGGCGAACGGGUGAGUAAUGUAUCGGAACGCGUCCUGUCGUGGGGGAUAGCCCGGUGAAAACCGGAUUAAUACCGCAUACGAUCGAGAGAUGAAAGUGGGGGACCGCCACGCCUGAGGCAGAAGGAGCGGCCCAUAUCUGAUUAACCAGUGGGUGGGGUAAAGGCCCACCAAGGCUUCGAUCAGUGGCUGGUCUGAGAGGAUGAUCAGCCAGACUGGGACUGAGACACGGCCCUGGAUCCUACGGGAGGCAGCAGUGGGGAAUUUUGGACAAUGGGGGCAACCCUGAUCCAGCCAUUCCGCGUGAGUGAAGAAGGCCUUCGGGUUGUAAAGCUCUUUUGUCCGGGAAGAAACGGUUUUGGCUAAUAACCAAGACUACUGACGGUACCGGAAGAAUAAGGACCGGCCAACUACGUGCCAUCCGCCGCGGUAA
RNAcentral lists this ribosomal RNA (498 nucleotides) under uncultured bacterium. Its description in RNAcentral is "partial 16S ribosomal RNA". It matches the Rfam family "Bacterial small subunit ribosomal RNA", at positions 29 to 523 of the family's 1533-position model. The record is from RNAcentral.